RNAcentral lists this transfer RNA (74 nucleotides) under Deltaproteobacteria bacterium. Its description in RNAcentral is "tRNA-Arg". It matches the Rfam family "tRNA", at positions 10 to 71 of the family's 71-position model. From Rfam's summary of the family: Transfer RNA (tRNA) molecules are approximately 80 nucleotides in length. Their secondary structure includes four short double-helical elements and three loops (D, anti-codon, and T loops). The record is from RNAcentral. Lineage: Bacteria; Pseudomonadati; Myxococcota; Myxococcia.
GCUGGCUGUUGCUGGUUGUUGCUCGCACCAGACUACGAAUCUGGGGGUCGCAAGUUCGAAUCUUGCCGGGCGCA